CCCUGAGGCUUAAAACCUUCAACAACGCUUCCUCUGGGGUGUAAGCUCUUCUUACUGGCUCACCCUGUGGAGGGAGUGUACUUUCACCUUCAAUAAACCUUUGAUCUUGCUGCUCCUUUUGCGUGUCCUGCUCAAUUCUUUGUUCAAGACACUAAGAACUUGGAUAAGACCCUUCAUCGAGUAACAAUUUUGUAUUAUUUAACCCAAACUUCUGCCACAUGAGGAAGUAAGAAAAAUCUUUCCCUCACUGGCAUCUGCUUUUGUCUGAAACUUCUCAUCCAAACAGCUUAGACUUUCUUGGUAUUCUGGCAUAAAUACUCUGAAGAACCCAUUAGAAGACUUGAAAGAGUACAGAAAGAGGAAAUCUCAAGAAUAGGUAAGAUUCUGCUUUGUGAGAAAGGGAAGUCGUGUGUCUGCUCUCCGAAACUCUGUUCUCAGUAAAAGCACCAUCAGGUCGAGAAAACAUGUACGUCAAUCAGUUCCUCUUUGCUUAAAUGAAUUCCGCAUGAAUUUGUCAUUUGCAACCAAGAGUUCUGACAAAUACAUUGCACAAGAAAAGAGAAAUCAUGAAUCAUGAAAAAUGGAUCUUAAUUCCUUUAAGAUGAUGGAGCCAGCAGCAAAUCACAUCUCUGUGCUGGGAACAGAGACAUCUAGAGAACAACUUCUUCGUGAGAAGAAAGAGAAGAGCUCUGGGAAUCAAGAAAGAACCAGUAGGAAAGCUAAAAAUCACAGAGAACAGAAGACAACCAGAGAAAGGAAUGAAGCAGUGUGGAAAGCUAACUCUGACUCCAGGGUAGAGGGGAUCUCACCCCCAAACACAAGGACAUCAGAGAUGAGAAACCAGGAGUUAUAACACUGUACAAUCCAACGUGUCUCCCAUAUGUGUGGAAGAAUGAGAAGCAAGAAAAACCAGUUUCAAUCUAUAUUGUGUCCAGUGGGCAGGGAGCAUAUUUGGCACUAGGCUUCCUGCUAGAGAUUUCAGAUAUUGCCAGGCUGAAACAGUUCAUGCCUCUGGUUGUUGGGACAUAAACAGACAACUUACCAAGAUUUCCUCCCAGAGACAAAGUGGCUUCUCUUUGGAGAAGAUGUUCUGCUCCCUGAGUGUGAUGUGGUGGAAGGGAUUGAAAUCCAAGCAUAUGGGCUGGGAAAUGGUCCACCAAGAAUUUGGGAUCCAAGGAAGGAAUAAGCUCUGCUGACAGAGUCAUCCCAUGCCAAGGACAAAAAACCUAUGGAUGCCAAAUGGGACACAGAGUGAACAGCCUCUUCCAGGGAUACCUGAGAAAGCAGAAGACUGACCUUAGCAGUUGUUGUAUUACCUCCUCACAGAGGGGUCUGGACAAAGCCGUUGUCAAAGCAUGGGUUUCGCUCCGAUGUUGUUCUGCUUGCUCCAUCUGGGACUCAGAUGCAUUCUCCUUUACCACUGAAUUCCUCAACUUGGACCACACCACAUCUGCUACCUGGAAAGUCUGACAAACAGCCUGGAAUAUCUGCCUACGAGCAAAUAUUUAUACUGUUGGAGUUACAUGUAUCAUUUAGCCUAUCUUACCUCAGAGUGUUUUUGCUUUACACUGAGUCAGAUACAGAACUUAAAACUUCUUAGUUUUGUGAAUGUUGAAUAGUAAAUUUUUUGUUUUGGUCAGCCUAUCCUGUCUUCAGAGGUGCUGAUUUCAUCAAUUACAAGCAAUAAUUAUUCAACAUUCACAAAACUAAACUAAAAUAAAUCAUAUAUAUGAUAUAUAUUAUAUAAUAUAUAGUAUAUAUAUGUAUGUAUUUUUAAAAACUUAAACUGGGCAUAGUGGAACAUGCCCAUAAUCCUGGCAUUCUGGGAGGCUGAGGCAGGAGGAUCACAAGUUCAAGUCCAGCCUGUUAGCAACUUAGUGAGACCCUGUCUCAAAAUAAAAAAAUUAAAAGUAGGACUAAGGAUGUAGCUUAGUGCAGAGGCCCUGGGUUCAAUCCCCAGGACAGAAAAAAACAAUUAAAAAUCCAGCUGAUCUUGGGGAUAAGACUAAGGCACUUCUGGUUGUUUCUGAAUGUUCCAUCUUAUCCCACCAUUUCUCAGCUUUUCUGCGUUAUAACUGGUCUCCUUUAGCUAGCCAUAAAGAGAGAAUUCCUUUUUUCAGACCAGUGAACUGACUGAUCACAUCACAUCAGCUCUAUUCUUCAGGUCAUGGCUUUGCAGCUGAGUUGUUUUAUUUACAGGUAUUUCUCGGUUUUGUUUGUUUGUUUUGCUUUGCAUUUAUAUUUGGAAAUCUAGUUGAAAAAAACAACAUUACUGGAUCCAGGAGCACCUUAUGAGAGUACACGUACCUUGCUGAUAGAAAUAAAAUCUAGAAUCUAUGACUCUCUUCUUUAGUUCCUUUCACCUGCAAGAAGAUAAGGUGCCCAGUCUAAUAGCUGAGGCAACACGUCUAUGUUUACCAUGUUGUACAUGCUUUAAUUUCCCUUAGCAGUCAUUCACCAGAGAGAGAAGGAGGAGCAACCUACAGGAAUCAGUGAUUUCUGGCAUUAAAAUUGCUGGCCACAUCAGGCUGCUUCUCACACAUGGCCCCAGUAAGACCAGAUAAAUUUCCACGGAAUCAUUCAACCUGUCUGAUUACUGUUUCCUGCUGUCAGAAGAGAUUCAAAUUUCCUACAUUUUAGGAAAUAUAUCUCUAUAUGUACAGCCUAUUGGUUCUGUUUUUCUGCAGAACCCGAAUACAAAUCUCAUAAUGAUUUAUACAAGAUCAAAUUAAAUUUCAUGAAAAGUUUGGAGAAUCUGAUUCUAUUCUAGUCUUCUUAGGAAAAUUAAAUACAUAAAUUAAUUCAAAAAAUUCUAAAUUAAAAAUGUGAGUAAUGACACGAGGCUAGAUAAAUUAGUUAUUUAAAUAUAUUAUAAAAGCUAUGAUAAUUAAAAUAUGGCACUGCUAAGAGAAGAAAAAUAUAUAGAUAUAGGAUCCAGAAUAGGCAGCCCAGAAAUUCACUUUGUUCCAUAUAAGAAGUGGCUAGACACUCACAGAUAUAUAUCAGAAGGAAGUGAAGUCAGCAUACAAAAGAUACCUGCAUGCCCAUGUGUAUUGUGCCACUUUUCACAACAGCCAAAGUAGGAAUCAGCCUCAGUGCCUUAAUAAUGGAUAAAUGUGAUACACACACACACACACACACACACACACACACACACACAAUAGAGUACUAUUCAGCCAUAAAGAAGAACGAAAUCCGUCCAUUUCCCUCAAAGUGAAUGGAACUGGAGACAUUGUGUGAAACUAGUCCCAGAAAGUUAAAAUUCACAUGCUUUCUUUUAUGUAAGCAAUCUAAAAGUAAAGACAAAUAAAUGCAAACGCAAAGGAGAGAGGACAGGAAACCAGAAGGUCGAUUUCCAGUGACAGGAAAGGGGAAGGGAGACAAAAGAAAGGGUAUGAAAGUCAUCAGACUUUGUUAAACGCGUGUACUAAUGUAUCAUUAUGAAUCUCAGUAUUGUUACUGCUAAUCUGUACCAAUAAAAAUAAAAUUACCUAUUUUUAA
RNAcentral lists this long non-coding RNA (3501 nucleotides) under Heterocephalus glaber (naked mole-rat). RNAcentral's name for it is "lncRNA (ENSHGLG00000030256.2)". The record is from RNAcentral. Lineage: Eukaryota; Metazoa; Chordata; Mammalia; Rodentia; Bathyergidae.